This 251-nucleotide ribosomal RNA is filed under the name uncultured prokaryote. Its description in RNAcentral is "partial 16S rRNA". It matches the Rfam family "Bacterial small subunit ribosomal RNA", at positions 525 to 775 of the family's 1533-position model. The record is from RNAcentral.
ACGUAGGUGGCAAGCGUUACUCGGAUUCACUAGGCGUAAAGCGUAUGUAGGCGGGUGUUUAAGUCCGUUGUGAAAUUUUCCGGCUCAACUGGAAACGGCCAACGGAUACUGGACAUCUUGAGUGAGACAGAGGAAACUGGAAUUCCCAGUGUAGCGGUGAAAUGCGUAGAUAUUGGGAGGAACACCAGCGGCGAAGGCGGGUUUCUGGGUCUUCACUGACGCUGAGAUACGAAAGCCGGGGGAGCAAACAG